This 253-nucleotide ribosomal RNA is filed under the name uncultured bacterium. RNAcentral's name for it is "partial 16S ribosomal RNA". It matches the Rfam family "Bacterial small subunit ribosomal RNA", at positions 524 to 776 of the family's 1533-position model. The record is from RNAcentral.
UACGUAGGGGGCGAGCGUUGUCCGGAUUUAUUGGGCGUAAAGAGCUCGUGGGCGGUUUGUCGCGUCGACUGUGAAAACCCGAGGCUUAACCUCGGGCCUGCAGUCGAUACGGGCAGACUAGAGUUCGGUAGGGGAGACUGGAAUUCCUGGUGUAGCGGUGAAAUGCGCAGAUAUCAGGAGGAACACCGGUGGCGAAGGCGGGUCUCUGGGCCGAUACUGACGCUGAGGAGCGAAAGCGUGGGGAGCGAACAGG